ACGUAGGUGGCAAGCGUUGUCCGGAAUUACUGGGUGUAAAGGGAGUGCAGGCGGGACGGCAAGUUGGAAGUGAAACCCAUGGGCUUAACCCAUGAACUGCUUUCAAAACUGCCGUUCUUGAGUGGUGCAGAGGUAGGCGGAAUUCCCGGUGUAGCGGUGGAAUGCGUAGAUAUCGGGAGGAACACCAGUGGCGAAGGCGGCCUACUGGGCACUAACUGACGCUGAGGCUCGAAAGCAUGGGUAGCAAACAG
RNAcentral lists this ribosomal RNA (251 nucleotides) under uncultured bacterium. RNAcentral describes it as "partial 16S ribosomal RNA". It matches the Rfam family "Bacterial small subunit ribosomal RNA", at positions 525 to 775 of the family's 1533-position model. The record is from RNAcentral.